CGCGUAGGCGGUUCGGUAAGUGGGAUGUGAAAGCCCUGGGCUCAACCUGGGAACUGCAUUCCAAACUGCCGAGCUAGAGUGUGGUAGAGGGAGGUAGAAUUUCCUGUGUAGCGGUGAAAUGCGUAGAUAUAGGAAGGAAUACCAGUGGCGAAGGCGGCCUCCUGGAUCAACACUGACGCUGAGGUGCGAAAGCGUGGGGAGCAAACA
This 207-nucleotide ribosomal RNA is filed under the name uncultured bacterium. RNAcentral describes it as "partial 16S ribosomal RNA". It matches the Rfam family "Bacterial small subunit ribosomal RNA", at positions 568 to 774 of the family's 1533-position model. The record is from RNAcentral.